UCUGACAGAGGUCGGUGGAAUUCGUAGUGUAGCGGUGAAAUGCAUAGAUAUUACGAAGAACACCAGUGGCGAAGGCGGCCGGCUGGGUCAGUAUUGACGCUGAGGCACGAGAGCGUGGGGAGCGAACAGGAUUAGAUACCCUGGUAGUCCACGCUGUAAACGAUGUAUGCUAGUUGUUGGGCCUAUGGGUUCAGUGACGCAGUUAACGCAGUAAGCAUACCACCUGGGGAGUACGUUCGCAAGAAUGAAACUCAAAGGAAUUGACGGGGGCCCGCACAAGCGGUGGAGCAUGUGGCUUAAUUCGAUGCAACGCGAAGAACCUUACCCGGGCUAAAUCCACGAUGACCGCUCCCGAAACGGAGCUUCCCUUCGGGGCAUCAUGGAAGGUGCUGCAUGGCUGUCGUCAGCUCGUGCCGUGAGGUGUUGCCUUAAGUGGCGCAACGAGCGCAACCCCUGUGGUUAGUUACCAGCACGUAAUGGUGGGGACUCUAGCCAGACUGCCUACGCAAGUAGUGAGGAAGGUGGGGACGACGUCAAGUCAUCAUGGCCCUUAUGUCCGGGGCUGCACACGUGUAACAAUGGAUGGUACAGAGGGAAGCUACCCAGCGAUGGGCUGCAGAUCUCGAAAGCCAUUCCCAGUUCGGAUUGGAGUCUGCAACUCGACUCCAUGAAGGUGGAAUCGCUAGUAAUCGCGUAUCAGCAAUGACGCGGUGAAUACGUUCCCGGGCCUUGUACACACCGUCCGUCAAGCGAUGGAAGUCAGGAGUACCUGAUGUCGGCGUGCCAACCCUUCGGGGAGGCAGCUGCCUAGGGUAAGCCUGGUAACUGGCGCUAAGUCGUAACAAGGUAGCCGUACCGGAAGGUGCGGCUGGAUCACCUCCU
This 882-nucleotide ribosomal RNA is filed under the name uncultured bacterium. RNAcentral's name for it is "bacterial SSU rRNA". It matches the Rfam family "Bacterial small subunit ribosomal RNA", at positions 647 to 1531 of the family's 1533-position model. The record is from RNAcentral.